This 406-nucleotide ribosomal RNA is filed under the name uncultured bacterium. RNAcentral's name for it is "partial 16S ribosomal RNA". It matches the Rfam family "Bacterial small subunit ribosomal RNA", at positions 30 to 526 of the family's 1533-position model. The record is from RNAcentral.
AUUGAACGCUGGCGGCAGGCCUAACACAUGCAAGUCGAGCGAGCGGCGGACGGGUGAGUAAUGUCUGGGAAACUGCCUGAUGGAUGGGGAUAACUACUGGAAACGGUAGCUAAUACCGCAUACCAUCAGAUGUGCCCAGCUGGGAUUAGCUUGUAGGUGGGGUAACGGCUCACCUAGGCGACGAUCCCUAGCUGGUCUGAGAGGAUGACCAGCCACACUGUAACUGAGACACGGGCCAGACCCAGACGGGAGGCAGCAGUGGGGAAGAUUGCACAGUGGGCGCAAGCCUGAUGUAGCCAGGCCGCGUGUGUGAAGAAGGCCUUCGGGUUGUAAAGCACUUUCAGUGGGGAGGCGUUACUCGCAGAAGAAGCACCGGCUAACUCCGUGCCAGCAGCCGCGGUAAUUC